Molecule: ribosomal RNA, 497 nt
Filed under: uncultured bacterium
Lineage: Bacteria
Description: partial 16S ribosomal RNA
Rfam family: Bacterial small subunit ribosomal RNA
Source: RNAcentral
GAUGAACGCUGGCGGCGUGCCUAAUACAUGCAAGUCGAGCGAACGGACGAGAAGCUUGCUUCUCUGAUGUUAGCGGCGGACGGGUGAGUAACACGUGGAUAACCUACCUAUAAGACUGGGAAAAUUUCGGGAAACCGGAGCUAAUCCCGGAUAAUCUUUUGAACCGUAUGGUUCAAAAGUGAAAGACGGUCUUGCUGUCACUUAUAGCUGGAUCCGCGCUGCAUUAGCUAGUUGGUAAGGUAACGGCUUACCAAGGCAACGAUGCGUAGCCGACCGGAGAGAGUGAUCGGCCACACUGGAACUUAGACACGGUCCAUACUCCUACGGGAGGCAGCAGUAGGGUAUCUUCCGCAAUAGGCGAAAGCCUGACGGAGCAACGCCGCGUGAGUGAUGAAGAUCUUCGGAGCGUAAAACUCUGUUAUUAGGGAAGAACAUAUGUGUAAGUAACUGUACACAGCUUGACGGUACCUAGUCAGAAAGCCACGGCUAACUACGUG